AACGCACCUUGCGCCUUUUUAAGGCAUACCUGAUUGAGUGUCUGUUUAACUCUACUUUAAAAGUGAUAUGUAUUAUGCUUAGGCUAAUAUUAAAAAUAUAUUGAGUGGACUAAGGUAAUCACUCUCAAAUUAAACAAAAAGACCUCAGUUUGGUAAGACUACCCGCUGAAUUUAA
Molecule: unclassified non-coding RNA, 175 nt
Filed under: uncultured fungus
Lineage: Eukaryota; Fungi
Description: partial contains 5.8S ribosomal RNA, internal transcribed spacer 2, and large subunit ribosomal RNA
Source: RNAcentral